This 338-nucleotide ribosomal RNA is filed under the name uncultured Polymyxa. Its description in RNAcentral is "SSU rRNA". The stretch from base 124 to 338 matches the Rfam family "Eukaryotic small subunit ribosomal RNA", at positions 744 to 955 of the family's 1831-position model. The record is from RNAcentral. Lineage: Eukaryota; Endomyxa; Phytomyxea; Plasmodiophorida; Plasmodiophoridae.
GACUUGUGUGCGCCGGAUGCGGCGAUCUGCGGCCAAAAGGUCGUUGCGAUCAGCCCGUCCUGGCGCCGUAAAAUUUGCAACUGAGUCGCCUCUGGUCUUAAUUGGUCGGUGGCGUCUGCUCGGUUGCUCGUUUACUGUGAGAAAAUUGGAGUGUUCAAGGCAGGCGUGGAUUGCAACUGAACAUGUUAGCAUGGAAUAAUAAGAUAAGGCUUUCGCGUUUAUUUUGUUGGUUUCUAGAUCGGAAGUAAUGAUUGAUAGGGACAGUUGGGGGUGCUAGUAUUCAGCGGCCAGAGGUGAAAUUCAUGGAUUCGCUGAAGACUAACUUAUGCGAAAGCAUU